GAAAAGGGGCUCCUGUCCAGGAGGGCAUGAAAAAGGGGCAAAGGGAGAGGUUGGUGAAAGGCCCAGAGGGAGGAGGUGAAAGAAGAGGAGACACUAGCCCUCAGGUAGCUAAGUGGAGACUGUACCCCAAGCCAGGUAGGGUGAUGCUGCUGGCCUAGAGGAGGGCAGAAAGAGAAAGGACAGGAGGGGGCAGGCUGGAUGGUGUGCAGGGCUGUAGUGAGCCCCAGGAAUGGGUGGUGACAAAGCUUCUUUGGCUGAGGUACUCAACUCUAGGUGUGCAGAGAACCCAUGGAGUACCUUCUGGUGGCUGUAAGUACAGACAGGAUGUCCACAGGAUGGGAAA
Suncus etruscus (white-toothed pygmy shrew) is the source of this 343-nucleotide long non-coding RNA. RefSeq lists it as uncharacterized. The transcript has 2 exons. Lineage: Eukaryota; Metazoa; Chordata; Mammalia; Eulipotyphla; Soricidae. The record is from RefSeq and is a predicted model, not a curated record.